Molecule: ribosomal RNA, 253 nt
Filed under: uncultured bacterium
Lineage: Bacteria
Also listed under: 1 other name
Description: partial 16S ribosomal RNA
Rfam family: Bacterial small subunit ribosomal RNA
Source: RNAcentral
UACGUAGGGUGCGAGCGUUGUCCGGAAUUAUUGGGCGUAAAGGGCUCGUAGGCGGUUUGUCGCGUCGGGAGUGAAAACACCGGGCUUAACUCGGUGCUUGCUUCCGAUACGGGCAGACUAGAGGCAUGCAGGGGAGAACGGAAUUCCUGGUGUAGCGGUGAAAUGCGCAGAUAUCAGGAGGAACACCGGUGGCGAAGGCGGUUCUCUGGGCAUGUCCUGACGCUGAGGAGCGAAAGUGUGGGGAGCGAACAGG